RNAcentral lists this ribosomal RNA (257 nucleotides) under uncultured soil bacterium. RNAcentral describes it as "partial 16S ribosomal RNA". It matches the Rfam family "Bacterial small subunit ribosomal RNA", at positions 26 to 288 of the family's 1533-position model. The record is from RNAcentral.
AGGACGAACGCUGGCGGCGUGCUUAACACAUGCAAGUCAAGGGGGCCCAGCAAUGGGCAACCGGCGAACGGGUGCGUAACACGUGAGCAACCUACCGAAAUGUGGGGGAUAGCCGGAAAACCUAACGGCCGAGUAAUACCGCAUACGCUCUCGAUGAGGCAUUUCAUUGAGAGGAAACCUACGGGACAUUUCGAGGGGCUCGCGGCCUAUCAGCUAGUUGGCGAGGUAACGGCUCACCAAGGCAACGACGGGUAGCC